RNAcentral lists this ribosomal RNA (253 nucleotides) under uncultured bacterium. Its description in RNAcentral is "partial 16S ribosomal RNA". It matches the Rfam family "Bacterial small subunit ribosomal RNA", at positions 524 to 776 of the family's 1533-position model. The record is from RNAcentral.
UACGUAGGGUGCGAGCGUUGUCCGGAAUUAUUGGGCGUAAAGGGCUCGUAGGCGGUCUGUUGCGUCGGGAGUGAAAACUCAGGGCUUAACCCUGAGCCUGCUUCCGAUACGGGCAGACUAGAGGUAUGCAGGGGAGAACGGAAUUCCUGGUGUAGCGGUGAAAUGCGCAGAUAUCAGGAGGAACACCGGUGGCGAAGGCGGUUCUCUGGGCCAGUACUGACGCUGAGGAGCGAAAGCGUGGGGAGCAAACAGG